UUUCCGUAGGUGAACCUGCGGAAGGAUCAUUAUUGUAUAACCGAGGUGCGAGGGCUGUCGCUGACCCGAAAGGUCGUGCACGCCCGAGUGCCCUCACACACAUCCAUCUCACCCCUAUGUGCACCACCGCGUGAGUCCCCCUUUGGCUUGUUCGGAGGGGGGCUUACGUUUUCACACAAACUUUGAAUGCAGUGUAGAAUGUAUUUUUUGUUUUUGCGAUCACGCAAUCAAUACAACUUUCAACAACGGAUCUCUUGGCUCUC
RNAcentral lists this unclassified non-coding RNA (263 nucleotides) under plant metagenome. RNAcentral's name for it is "partial contains small subunit ribosomal RNA, internal transcribed spacer 1, and 5.8S ribosomal RNA". The record is from RNAcentral.